Pseudopipra pipra is the source of this 1285-nucleotide long non-coding RNA. RefSeq lists it as uncharacterized. The record is from RefSeq and is a predicted model, not a curated record. The transcript is spliced from 3 exons. Lineage: Eukaryota; Metazoa; Chordata; Aves; Passeriformes; Pipridae.
UGAGAAGACUUUGUUGUCACAAGUCAGACAGGUGUCAUGAAGAGAAUGAACAAAAGCAAGCAGUGUCCAGAAAGGUUGCAGAGGGGAGUGAGAGAGAGGCUGUAGUAAGUACCUGGCAUGCAGCCAGGGUCAGCCCACUACAUAUGGCAGAUUGGUGAAAAGGAAGCUGCUUUAAGUCCAGAAGCCCUACUUUAGGUUCCAGUCAGAUGUCAUUGACCCUUGCUGAUAGAAGAGCUCUGGAACAGACAGAAGGCAGGUGAUGGAGGGAAUACUGCAUGUGAAGAUGGGCUACAGACUCACAGAUGUGUCAUGUGAAAGCUGUGUUCUCCAUAGCCAGAAUCCACUUCUGUAUUCAAUGGUGCAUUUUGGCAGCCUUUCUAGCUAUGGUUUCUUCUGAGGCAAAGGUAAAACUAGUGUUUGGUGACAACUAGGCUUUUGAUGCCCUUCUUUAGAUGUUUACAUGAGUGGCCUUCAUUUUCUAAGGCUCACAGCCCUAAAGAAUUUGGUGACCAAACACAGCCUUAUUUCUACCAAGUAUCUUUCAAUCCCAUAAAGGAGUUCCUGUUCCAAAAGAGUGGCCUCCAAAAAAUGACCAAUAUCAAAAGAAACAGCACAAGGUUCCUUUGAUUUCCCUCUUCUUUUAAGCCCAUAUCAGGGAGUAGAAAAAAAGAAGGCAAAGUUUUAUCUAAUCUCUGCAGCUCUCAGCAACAGGGAAACACUUGAAUCAAAUAAGGAGCAUGCCACAGGCCUGAAGGAGUUAAAUUGGUAAAAGUUUCAAGUGUCUGGAGGAAGCUAUUCCAGUCAGUUCUUCUUUAAAUUUGGUCACUGCUCAGGUACAGAUGUAGAAAAUUAGGCAUCCCAGUUUGAAUUUAAGAGGGAGCCAGAGUGAGUGGAGUGGGAUGAAUCCUCUGAUAGGCACUUGCUUCACUCUUCUGUCCCAAAAGAUACAACUCAUUCUGACACAAACUGGAACACACUUAUCUUACCUCAUGUACACGCAAAUUUAACUCACCUGAAAGUAAGCUACAUGAACAACAAAUGAUACUUUCCUCAAAGUAUUUGUCUUCUUCUUUUGCUUUUUUGAAUUUUGCUCUAAUAAAAAAGCGAAGAAUAUUUCAAACCAUACGUGUGUUGAAAGACUGUUGGAGCACGUUCAGAGGAGGACCACAAAAAUUGAUGAGGGAUAGUACAACCCUCCUAUGAGGAAUUACUUAAAUGAGUCUUAUAUGAAAAAUGGGGACAGACUCUUUAACAGAAACAGUAGCGAUAAAACAAAAACCAAACA